RNAcentral lists this ribosomal RNA (497 nucleotides) under uncultured bacterium. Its description in RNAcentral is "partial 16S ribosomal RNA". It matches the Rfam family "Bacterial small subunit ribosomal RNA", at positions 28 to 507 of the family's 1533-position model. The record is from RNAcentral.
GAUGAACGCUGGCGGCGUGCCUAAUACAUGCCAGUCGAGCGAACAGACGAGGAGCUUGCUCCUCUGACGUUAGCGGCGGACGGGUGAGUAACACGUGGAUAACCUACCUAUAAGACUGGGAUAACUUCGGGAAACCGGAGCUAAUACCGGAUAAUAUAUUGAACCGCAUGGUUCAAUAGUGAAAGACGGUUUUGCUGUCACUUAUAGAUGGAUCCGCGCCGCAUUAGCUAGUUGGUAAGGUAACGGCUUACCAAGGCAACGAUGCGUAGCCGACCUGAGAGGGUGAUCGGCCACACUGGAACUGAGACAAGGUCCAGACUCCUACGGGAGGCAGCAGUAGGGAAUCUUCCGCAAUGGGCGAAAGCCUGACGGAGCAACGCCGCGUGAGUGAUGAAGGUCUUCGGAUCGUAAAACUCUGUUAUUAGGGAAGAACAAAUGUGUAAGUAACUAUGCACGUCUUGACGGUACCUAAUCAGAAAGCCACGGCUAACUACGUG